UACGUAGGGUGCAAGCGUUGUCCGGAAUUAUUGGGCGUAAAGAGCUCGUAGGCGGCUUGUCGCGUCUGCUGUGAAAACCCGAGGCUCAACCUCGGGCCUGCAGUGGGUACGGGCAAGCUAGAGUGCGGUAGGGGAGAUUGGAAUUCCUGGUGUAGCGGUGGAAUGCGUAGAUAUCGGGAGGAACACCAGUGGCGAAGGCGGUUGCCUGGAGCUUUGCUGACGCUGAUGCGCGAAAGCGUGGGGAGCGAUCCGG
This 253-nucleotide ribosomal RNA is filed under the name uncultured bacterium. Its description in RNAcentral is "partial 16S ribosomal RNA". It matches the Rfam family "Bacterial small subunit ribosomal RNA", at positions 524 to 776 of the family's 1533-position model. The record is from RNAcentral.